GGUGAGAUGGCUGAGGUUAUAGGCGUUAGAUUGUAAAUUUAAGAACGAAGAGUUUCUUCUCUCACCA
This 67-nucleotide transfer RNA is filed under the name Cryptocephalus androgyne. RNAcentral describes it as "tRNA-Tyr". It matches the Rfam family "tRNA". Rfam says of the family: Transfer RNA (tRNA) molecules are approximately 80 nucleotides in length. Lineage: Eukaryota; Metazoa; Arthropoda; Insecta; Coleoptera; Chrysomelidae. The record is from RNAcentral.